RNAcentral lists this long non-coding RNA (1183 nucleotides) under Equus caballus (horse). Its description in RNAcentral is "lncRNA (ENSECAG00000058136.1)". The record is from RNAcentral. Lineage: Eukaryota; Metazoa; Chordata; Mammalia; Perissodactyla; Equidae.
AUUGUAGUUUAUUUUUAUUUUUUUUCCAUUUGCUUAGCUUUAUGUUCUCAAUUUUCUACAGUCUUCUACUUUGUAAGAGACCGAAUCCAGUCUUGUCUGUUUGCCUGUAGAGUCUGUUGGUUUUGUAUUGCAACACAGAAUGGCAAGUUGAGUUAGGACUCUGCCUGAACAGGCCUGCCCACAGACCAGCCAGUUGGUUCUAGAAUCUGAAGACGACUCAGGCAAGAGAUAGAGCUUUCCUGGUUCUCAGGAGUCAUUUAAGCCAGAUACAGAAGCAAGCAGGAGCCAGAGAAAGUCUAGAGAGCUCCUAGAUAAUCAAAAAGGCUAAAAAAAAGUUGUAUCCUGAGUUGGGUGCAGAUAGAACUGAAGUAGUUAGAUAGACCUCUGAAAUCAAAGGGUCUCUGAAUGGAAUGCUAUGUCAUGCCAUUGUUGACAUAGCGUUCCGUCUCCACACUGAUGUUUACAUGUGUAAGCCAUACAUUCUACUGCAUUCAAAGCAUUGACCUGAGAUUAUAUCAAUGACGUAGUAAGAAGGGGCACAGGGGAUAAAGGGGAAAGACUUUUCUGAUGUUAUAGCCCAACAAAAGAACUGCAAAUAAUACAAUCCUCAUGCAGCGCCUCAAAAGGACCUCAAGCAGUGACCGAAAAGUCAGGAAACAAAGGAUUCACGGGCCAGAUGCUUGAAGCUUGAGGACAAGGGUGUUGGCCAUAUAACACGGACCAAAUGCAAGUAAUCUUCUGGGUUGGUGGGCACGGAGUCACCUUUACUGGCAAAGCAGAGGGGAAGCUGCCACAGGCAUAUGUCGUUUUAUUGCACUUCACUUUAUUGCUCAUUGUGGAUACUGUAUUUUUCACAAAUUGAAGCUUUGUGGCAAUCCUGGAUCAACCAAGUCUAUUGGCGCCAUUUUUCCAACAGCAUUUUCUCACUUCAUGUCACUGUGUCACAGUUGGGUAAUUCUCACAAUAUUUCAAACUUUUCAUUACUAUUAUAUUUGUUAUGGUAAUCUGUGAUCAGUGAUCUUCGAUGCUACUCUUGUAACUGUUUUGGGGCACCAUGAACCAUGCUUAUAUGAGACGGUGAACUUAAUCGGUAAAUGUUGUGCGUGUUCUGACUGCUCCACUGACUGGCCAUUCCCCCCUCUCUCUCCUUCUCCUCUGGCUUCCUUAUUCCCUGAGACACAAC